UCACGAGUGCUGAUCACAGCUAGCCCUGGCUGAUCGGCCAGCAACCCUCUGCGCAUAGUGGGGUGCUCCAGGUGAGGAUUCGGCUUAGUUCAAACGUUCUAAGCAAGUAU
Molecule: non-coding RNA, 110 nt
Filed under: uncultured Yaniella sp.
Lineage: Bacteria; Bacillati; Actinomycetota; Actinomycetes; Micrococcales; Micrococcaceae
Description: S-adenosyl methionine (SAM) riboswitch
Rfam family: SAM (S-adenosyl methionine) riboswitch aptamer
About the family: SAM-IV is a mRNA element that regulates gene expression via direct sensing of S-adenosylmethionine (SAM or AdoMet). SAM-IV riboswitches share conserved nucleotide positions with the previously described SAM-I riboswitches sequence analysis and molecular recognition experiments suggest that SAM-I and SAM-IV riboswitches share similar ligand binding sites, but have different scaffolds.
Source: RNAcentral